CCUUAUUAAGCACCAAGGAGCAGGUAUCAGGCACAACUAUUUAGCCCAAAACACCUUGCUACGCCACACCCACACGGGCACCCAGCAGUGAUAAACAUUAAGCAAUGAGUGAUAGCUAACCUAAGCUCGACUUAGUUAUGAUCAUUAGGGCCGGUAAACCUCGUGCCAGCCACCGCGGUUAUACGAGGGGCCCAAAACAAUAGAUAUCGGCGUAAAUUGUGGCUAGAGCGCCUCUUACAACACUGAAAGACAAACGAAAGCCUAAUCGUAAAACCUAGGCCAAAAGAAACACAAACUUUCAGCUAUAAAGUAACUUGAACCCACGAAGACUAAGAAACAAACUAGGAUUAGAUACCCUACUAUGCUUAGUUGUUAAUAUGACAUCAGAAAACACUACUGUCCGCCAGAGAAUUACACGCGAAAAGCUUAAAACUCAAAGGACUUGGCGGUGCUCCGUAUUCGUCUUAGAGGAGCCUGUCCUAUAAUCGAUAACCCACGCUUUACCUUACCAUCUUUUGUUAAACAGCCUAUAUACCGCCGUCGCAAACUUACCCCAUGAGGGCACAACAGUAAGUAAAAUAGUAAUACACUAACACGUCAGGUCAAGGUGUAGCUAAUAAGAUGGAAGAGAUGGGCUACAUUUUCUAAAACAGAACACAC
This 660-nucleotide ribosomal RNA is filed under the name Liolaemus sp. PLW-2018c. Its description in RNAcentral is "partial small subunit ribosomal RNA". It matches the Rfam family "Bacterial small subunit ribosomal RNA", at positions 312 to 1249 of the family's 1533-position model. The record is from RNAcentral. Lineage: Eukaryota; Metazoa; Chordata; Lepidosauria; Squamata.